RNAcentral lists this unclassified non-coding RNA (1960 nucleotides) under Hevea brasiliensis (rubber tree). Lineage: Eukaryota; Viridiplantae; Streptophyta; Magnoliopsida; Malpighiales; Euphorbiaceae. The record is from RNAcentral.
AUUGUUCAGAAGCUUCAUGCCCUGAGAAAACCCAAAACAAAUAUUCAGAUUCUUCAACAGAGUGUUCUUUUAAAAUACAAGUAUGUCAUUUCCUUCCUCAUGGAACAUGGCAAGGAGAUAUAUACCGAGGUUCGUGGAGCAUACAUUGACACAAUGAACAAGGUUUUAAGUGCUCAUUUCCGUGCUUAUAUUCAAGCCUUGGAGAAACUACAGUUAGAUAUAGCAACAUAUAGUGAUUUGAUUGGCGUGGAGACCAGAAGCAGUGGCCUUUUUUCAAGACCAAGAGAACCACUAAAGAAUCGUUCAGCAGUUUUUGCUUUGGGGGAGAGGAUUAAUAUUUUAAAGGAAAUUGAUCAACCAGCAUUGAUUCCUCAUAUAGCUGAAGCCAGCUCCCAAAAGUAUCCUUAUGAGGUCCUCUUCAGGAGCUUGCACAAGUUGCUAAUGGAUACUGCAACUUCUGAGUAUCUUUUCUGUGAUGAUUUCUUUGGGGAAGAAUCUAUAUUUUAUGAAAUUUUCACAGGUCCGCUUGCUGUUGUUGAUGAACACUUCAAUUCAAUACUUCCUAAUUGUUAUGAUGCCAUAGGCCUCAUGCUUAUGAUUCGCAUCAUACAUCAGCAUCAGCUCAUUAUGUCUCGGCGGCGGAUUCCAUGCUUGGACUCAUAUUUGGAUAAGGUCAAUAUCUCUUUAUGGCCUCGUUUUAAGAUGGUAUUUGACUUGCACCUUAGCAGCCUGCGGAAUGCAAAUGUGAAGACAUUGUGGGAAGAUGAUGUUCAUCCUCAUUAUGUCAUGAGGCGUUAUGCAGAAUUUACUGCAUCUCUUAUUCACCUUAAUGUUGAAUAUGGAGAUGGGCAGCUUGAAUUGAACUUGAAAUGGCUGAGAAUGGCUGGUGAUGAUUUUGUCAUCNNUUGAUGAUUUGCUCAUCAAGCUUGCUAAAACAUUCCCAAAGCCAAAACUACAAAUUGUGUUUCUCAUAAACAACUAUGAUAUGACAAUUUCUGUGCUGAAGGAAGCUGGUCCAGAAGGUGGGAAAAUUCAAAUGCACUUUGAGGAACUGCUGAAAAGCAAUACAGCCUUAUUUGUGGAAGAGCUGCUACUAGAGCAUUUUAGUGACCUCAUCAAGUUCGUCAAGACCCGAGCCUCGGAGGAUCCAAAUUCAAGUUCUGAGAAGCCCAUAACUGUUGCUGAAGUUGAGACAAUUGUAAAAGAUUUUGCAAGUAGAUGGAAAGCUGCAAUAGAGCUGAUGCAUAAAGAUGUUAUCACUUCUUUCAGUAACUUCUUAUGUGGUAUGGAGAUCUUGAGGGCUGCACUGACCCAGCUCCUGCUAUAUUAUACUAGGCUGUCAGAUUGCAUAAAGAGGAUUGUUGGUGGGUCUGUACUGAACAAGGACCUUGUGUCCAUUUCAUCAAUCAUGUAUGAGAUCAGGAAAUACUCAAGAACUUUCUAGAUUACUAUUUUUAUAUCGCAAGUAUCUUUGUGAUGAAUUAGAUGAAAGUCACCCAUGCAAAGCUUGUUCAGUCCAGUCUGUUAUAUGUAGAGUUUGGAGGGUAUCAGGCAACAAAAACAGCGCAAAGAUCGAAGUUUCCACACACUGAAGCAAGUACGUUGGAGUAUAAUGAAAUAGAGAGUGUUCCAGAAACGUGUAGUUUCUGAUUUCCCUUUGUUUUUAGCUGCAAAUGCAUCUUUCAUAUUCUUUGAUGUGAUUUGACAGCUUAAUUUCACCAUUCUUUAUCUGAAUUCAAUUGUACUGCUUUGGUUUGCUUGCUCUUUUAUUUUUUUGGUACUUAGAAAAUUUUUAGACGGGUUGAGGCUAUUAGAGUAGUUUGAGCUUGAACUUCUUCUGCAUUACGAGGUAAGCACUCGACCAUUGAGUUGGUAGCCCAAGCCCAUGGUUUUGGUUUGCUUGCUAAGAUGUAUCAAUACUCAAAAACUAUGAGCCAAUUUCUAAUAAUUAACUUAUUCU